GACGAACGCUGGCGGCGUGCUUAACACAUGCAAGUCGAACGAUGACGACCGUGCUUGCACGGUCUGAUUAGUGGCGAACGGGUGAGUAACACGUGAGUAACCUGCCCCCCACUCUGGAAUAACCUCGGGAAAUCGGGGCUAAUACCGGAUAUGAGCUCCUACCGCAUGGUGGGUGCUGGAAAGUUUUUCGGUGGGGGAUGGACUCGCGGCCUAUCAGUUUGUUGGUGAGGUAAUGGCUCACCAAGGCGAUGACGGGUAGCCGGCUUGAGAGGGCGACCGGCCACACUGGGACUGAGACACGGCCCAGACUCCUACGGGAGGCAGCAGUGGGGAAUAUUGCACAAUGGGCGAAAGCCUGAUGCAGCGACGCCGCGUGGGGGAUGACGGCCUUCGGGUUGUAAACCUCUUUCAGUAGGGAAGAAGCGAAAGUGACGGUACCUGCAGAAGAAGCGCCGGCUAACUACGUGCCAGCAGCCGCAGUAA
This 483-nucleotide ribosomal RNA is filed under the name uncultured bacterium. Its description in RNAcentral is "partial 16S ribosomal RNA". It matches the Rfam family "Bacterial small subunit ribosomal RNA", at positions 28 to 523 of the family's 1533-position model. The record is from RNAcentral.